RNAcentral lists this long non-coding RNA (560 nucleotides) under Capsicum annuum. Its description in RNAcentral is "long non-coding RNA (CANN_LNC003202)". The record is from RNAcentral. Lineage: Eukaryota; Viridiplantae; Streptophyta; Magnoliopsida; Solanales; Solanaceae.
ACAACAACAACAACAACAACAAACCCAGUGUAUUCCCACCUAGUGGGGUCUGGGGGGGUAAGAUGUACGCAGUCCAUACCUCUACCUCUGAUGAAGUAGAAAGGUUGUUUCCGAAAGACCCCCGGCUCAAGGCACGAGAUACCACACAAACACAUAGUAAAGCACAGAAGCAGAUUACAUAACAUAAAUACGGCACCCAUAAGUAUUAUAAAACAGAGGAAAGCACAAAGAUUCGUAAUAAAACAUGGAACACGGAACAUGGAAUCAUAACAGGAAUAAAACCCCCACCAAGUAAAAAAAAAAAGUCAGUCCACACAUCCAGCGCAACAUCCGCAUUUCUGCCACCUUCAUUUUUUGGAUGUGGGAGUUCUUAACUGGCCAACACUCCGCUCCAUACAGCAAGGCCGGACGGACUACCACCCUAUAGAAUUUGCCUUUAAGCUUGGGCGGCACCUUCUUAUCACACAGCACCCCCGAUGCGAGUUUCCACUUCAUCCAUCCCGCCCCAAUACGGUGCGAGACAUCCUCGUCAAUCUCACCGUUACUCUGGAUCACGGACC